GACGGAAGGUGCAAGCGUUGCUCGGAAUCACUGGGCGUAAAGGGUGCGUAGGCGGCCGUGCAAGUCUGGCGUGAAAGCCCCGGGCUCAGCCCGGGAAGUGCGCUCGAAACUGCGCGGCUCGAGUGCCGGAGGGGAGAGUGGAAUUCCUGGUGUAGCGGUGAAAUGCGCAGAUAUCAGGAAGAACACCCGUGGCUAAGGCGGCUCUCUAGUACGGUACUGACGCUGAGACGCGAAAGCGUGGGGAGCGAACAGG
This 253-nucleotide ribosomal RNA is filed under the name uncultured bacterium. RNAcentral describes it as "partial 16S ribosomal RNA". It matches the Rfam family "Bacterial small subunit ribosomal RNA", at positions 524 to 776 of the family's 1533-position model. The record is from RNAcentral.